Molecule: long non-coding RNA, 4867 nt
Filed under: Sus scrofa (pig)
Lineage: Eukaryota; Metazoa; Chordata; Mammalia; Artiodactyla; Suidae
Description: lncRNA (ENSSSCG00000045930.2)
Source: RNAcentral
UUUUUUUCUUUUUUCUUUCUUUCUGACCAGCAAAUCAUAGCCUCUGGUUUAAAAUAAUCAGUCUUGGUGAAAUUCCAGAGUUAAGAGUGUCAACAUCUUUUACAAUGCAGCUUAUUUCAAAAGCAGGUGUCUGAAGACACCCUGAUUUAAAUACAUAAAAGAAAUACAGUGCAAAAAAAGUGUGUUUCUACAUAUAAUAUUCCUUUUUUUGUGAGCUAGCUUUCUGUCCUGGUUUAAAAUUUUGAGCAUAAAUCUUUUCAUAUGAAAAAGAAUAACUAUUGUUGUACUGUGGUUUGAUGAUUCCACAUACUAAAUUAACUUGGAAAUAUUGGUACAUGAUGUAAGUCCUCUUAGAAAUUCAGAAUGUUUUAUUCAAAGAAGUUUAAAUGCAGAAUGGUUUAUUUUGCUCUGGAAAUUUUACAAAGGUGUUUUGCCAAAAGCAUUAAAUAUUUGAUUCUACUUGUUAAGAUUUGCAGGAACUGCUUUAAAUUUAUUACAAAAAAUAAUAGCAACAGCAACACAUUUUCCCCUUUCAUUAAGGUAGUGAAAAAAAAAAAGAACUUUAAGAGCUUUUCCAUAAAAAUGCUCUAAAAUAUUCCAUUAAAAUUAAAAGGCAACUGCCACUUCACACGUGGUCAGACUUAACUAUUCAAAGUUAUUUUAAGUCUGUCAGUCCCUGAAGACCAAACUACCUGAGAGUCCAGCUGUGUUCAAAGACCUCUAGAACUCAGUCUCCAGAGAUGGAUAGGGCUGAUACAAAGGGUUAUUAGAUUACAGAAGGGAAGAAUAAUCCAGAGUGCAAUAUUUAAUAUCCUAUUCUCUCUAAAUCCUCACUUGAUUAUAGGUUUCUUAUUGAUAACAGUCAUUCUGCAAUGAUUAGGGAGAUUCCAUAAUAGAACAUGGAGCUUGGAACAAAUGCCCAAUUCCCAUACUGACAGCACGUGACCUCAUGUUAGCAGCAGUGAACUGAGAAUGUUAAUAGCAAGUGAUCUUCCAGGGUUGUGGGAAAUAGUAACAUUUUGGUCAAAAUCUUAUGUUCUCAUGAUUAUAAAAAAGUAUUUUUAAAAGGAUACAUUAUAUGCAUAUUUGUCAUUAAAUAUUAUACUCCUUCUGGUAUGGUUCUCUUUGCUUAGUUUUGUUUUAUAGUAACACUUCUGCAUUGUAAAUAUAGUUCUAAUAUUAGUUGCCACAGAGAUAUGCAGUUUCAUGCAUGAAUAACUUAUUAAUAUAUUUCUUAGGGUGGUCCAUUAUACACAUGCUUAAUUAGCCCUAGAAUCAGACUGUUAAAUUCUUGUUUAAGUGUCCCAAAUAUCAAGAAAUGAGUACACUAUAUUUUUUAGGAAUUUAUUAUUGACUUUUGUAUUUAAACCUUAAAAAUCCUUAUUAAGGUCUCCCAGAAGCCCAACAAACUCUGAUAUAACUUACUUUUACUUUAGUACCAGGUGCUGAUAUCUUUGGAAUUUUACUUUUGGUAUAAAAGAGAGUUAUCCGGGAAAAAAAAAAAAAAAAGUGAACCAAUGACUAUAAGAUUUUUUCAAAUAAUGGACACAAAAGAUACUGUAACUAAAUUAAAAGGCCAAAGACUUGCCAAAAAGUCUAUUUCUGAACCAGUGUUACAGGAUACAGGGGUGGGAGUGUUUUUGUUUGGUUUGCUAGUUUGUUUAGAGUUAAGUGAAAAGUACAGGGUUUGAAGUCACACAUAUACAGGGUACCAUUCUGACUUUUCCAUUGCCUGACCAUUGAGGAAAUCAUUCAACUUGAAGUGACUUCAAUUUCAUCAGAUUUCCUUUCAGAUUUAAAAAAUGAGAAAACAAAGAUGAUAAACAAUAUUUCAAUGAUCUGAUUUAUACAAGUAUGGCAUAAAUACUGAAAAAAGAUAGAACAAUAGUAACUUUCAGGUUAGGCCAUUGCCUUCCUCAAAAUAUCCCUAUUAAGAACUUCUCAGCCUCUGCUUUAGAAUAUCAUUGUUAAGUAGGGCUACCAUGUCAUUUCAGGUGAAGGAUUUCAACUUUGCACAUACACUCACUACUUGCUGGCAGGCCACGGGCUUUUCUUCCACCUGAAUCAAGGAAAGGGCAAUUUCUAGUCUACUCACCUAUGCAUUUAUGGUGAGCUCAACUCUAUUUGUUGGAAAGCUGCCAUUCAUUUAGGAGAGCCUGAGGGAUAUUGGGUGGCUGUUAUCUUUCUCUUGCUCUCUCCCACUGCACCAAAUGCUCUGGCAAGGUCACUGCACCUGGACACUGCAUUCCCUAAAGAGCACUUUAUUACUAAAAUUGUGUAAAACUUAGACAAAGUUCAGAGAAGAGCUGAAAUAUUUAGUAUUUAAAUAUUUUAAAUACUAAAAUAUUUAAGUGACGAAGGGGACCCAUUUUAAAGAACUCAGAAAUGUUUGGUUAAGCGGUAAUUGCGCUAAAAAAGGUGUGGUGGCUCUGGCAUUAAGUUUGAAUUCCAAACCACACUUGGCAAAAAGACUUCCUUUCAGGCCUCUAAAUUCAGAAAUGCUCUGAAGAAGGGGCAGAAUCUCCCUCUUGCUUGGCUCUCCAACCACUGCACACAUUCCUUGGGUGGUAUUCCCAUGCAAGUGUAGUGACCUCUACAAACAAGCACAGAAGGAAACACUACCAAAGCAGAGAGCUCAUUAAAGAAGUCUGAAAGAUGCUUAAAGGGUUCUUUUAGGGAAUCAUGAAGAACAAGCCUGGGUUGUGAAGGGCCAGUCCUUCCAUCCCUGUUAAGCACCUACUCACGCCCCACUGCCAAUCUCUGCUUAAUGGGUGGUACCAUUAAAUAAGAGCUGCUGACCCAGUCCAACUGUGCAAGUCUGCCUAUAUGUACUGCUUAGAAUAUUGAUUCCUUUAAGAAUGACAGUUCCAGGUAAAUCUAACAUGAUCUGGAAAUAAGGGCUUGCUCACAUUUUUCUGCAUGCUCUGGCUAGAAGCCCUCAUCCACAAAGCACAGUACCAACUUUUGAAGGUCACUGGAAUCUAAUGUUCACAGACCAUGGGAUGGGUGAUGCAACAACGUGAGUCAGUGUUGUUAAGGAACUGCAGAGGCCAGAAGAGCUAUAUCGUUUCAAUCAAAUAGAUGUUAUGGGCUGGGGGAUUAAGAUGGUGGAAUAGAAGGACUGAAGCUUAACUUCUCUCCUAAAAACAACAAAAUUUACAACCAAAGGCUGCGCAAUCUUCACUCAAAUGGACCGGAAACCUUAAAAAAGAUAUCCUACUCCAGGAGAUAGGGAGGAGGCCACAUCAAGAGGUAAGAGGGGUGAUUAUGUGAUAUAAGCAACCCCAUACCUCCCGGAUGGGAAGUCCCACAGACUGGAAAGUAACUGGUUCACAGAGACUCACCUACAGGAGUGAGAGUUUUGAGCCCCAUAUCAAACCCUCAUGUGUGGGGAUCUGCAACUGGGAGAAAGAGCCCCCAGAGCAUCUGGCAUUGAAGGCCAGUGUGGCUUGUGUGCAAGAGCUCCACAGCAGUGGCGGAAAUGGGGACCCCAUUCUUAAAAGGCACACACACUUUCACGUGCACUGGGUCCCAGGGGGAAGCAAAGUUUCCAAAGGAAUCUGGAUCAGACCUGACUGCAAUUCUUGGAGGACCUCCUGGAAAAACAGGGGUGAAUGGGUCUUGUUGUGGGGGAAGGACGUUGUAAGCAAAGCUCUCGGGAAUAUUCCUCAAUGUGCCUUUCUCUGGAGGUGGCCAUUUUGGGAAAAUCUGGCUCCACCCAUUAUUGCUGAGAAGCCCCCAGCCAAACAACAAUCCAGGUGGUAUCACAGCCCUGCCCAUCAGUAAACAGGCUGCCUAAAGACCACACAGGCACACAGACGCCUCUAAUCUCACCCAGAGACAAAGCCCCACCCACCAGAGGGAUAGGAAUCAGCUCCACCUAACACUGGGCAGGCAUCAAUCCCUCCCAUCAGGAAGCCUACAGCAAGCCCCCAUACAAACUUCAGCCACAAGGGGGGCAGAUGCCAGAGGUAAGAGAUGCUACAACUCUAUCGUCUGCAGAAAGUUCACAACGCCAAAAACCUAUAAAAAUGAAAAGACAGAGAACUAUAACUAAGAGGAGAGAAAAAGAAAAAAACUCAGAAAAACAGCUAAGUGAUCAGGAGAUUCUCAGCCUCCAGGAAAAAGACUUUAGACUGUUGAUGCUGAAGAUGAUGCAAGACAUUUGAAAUAAACUGGAGGCAAAGACGAAUAAUUUACAGGAAACACUGAGCAAAGAGACACAAGAUAUAAAACUUAAACAAGAAGAGAUGCAAAAUACAGUAACUUAAAUAAAAAUUCAUCAGAAGCAGCCAACAGCAGAAUAUAGGAGGCAGAAGAACAAAUAAGCAAGGUGGAGGACAUACUAGUGGAAAUCACCAAUGCAGAACAGAAAAGAGAAAAAAGAUUGAAAAACAAUGAAGAGAGUCUCAGAGAACUCUGGGACCAUGUUAAACGCACCAACAUCCAUGUUAUAUGGGUGCCAGAAGGACAAGAGAGAAAGAAAGGGACAGAAAAAAUAUUCAAAGAGAUAACAGCCAAAAACUUCCCUAACAUGGGAAAGGAACUACUCACUCAAAUCCAGGAAGCCCAACAAGUACUAUAUAAAAUAAACCCAAGGAGGCACACCCCAAGACACAUUACUCAAAUUGACCAAAAUUAAAGGCAAUGAGAAAAUAUUGAAAGCCGCUAGGAAAGGAGUUCCAUCGUGGUGCAGUGGUUAACGAAUCUGACUAGGAACCAUGAGGUUGCAGGUUCGAUACCUGACCUUGCUCAGUGGGUUAAGGAUCCAGUGUUGCUGUGGCUCUGGUGUCGGCCAGCGGCUAAAGCUCCAACUGGACCCGUAGCCUGGGAAACUCCAUAUGCUGUGGAAGUGGCCCUAAAAAAG